UCAAAUCUGAUGUCACACCCGGGUUUUAGAGCACCAAGACCCAGGCGCGAACAUAAUCACCAGGCGUGCUGGGACCAAGUCUCACACAUAUGAUGAAUCAUGGCACAGGAUCGAAUGUCACAACUUUUCUAUAUAAUAGGAGUUCGGUACAAAAUAAGUAAAUAAAUACAUUAUAAGGAGACAACGGUCCAGCAAUCCAAAGUUAACUGGAAGACGACAGCCUAGACCUCUCACGAACUCGUCACAACAUCCUCCAAGCACCUCAUCCUGUGGUACCUGUUCUUGACCUGUGGAGGGUGUGAGACAGCAAGAGUGAGCUCACAUACGUUCAUAACUCAACAAGUUGUGGGAAAUAAUGUGCAUGAACUCGCUAAAGGUGGGAGCUCACGUGAAGUGUAAGGCUUACCAAAGAGGAUGAUUAGAGCUGAGCAUUGCUUUUAAAGUUGGUCAAAAUUUUAUUAGCAAUUACUAAGUAUAAGUAAAUACCAACCCAAUUAAGUAGUAGAACGAAAGUAACAACAUCACCUGCGAUGCAAUGCAUAUGACAAUUUGAAUUUAGUUUCAUAAAUUAAUCAUGUGAGUGUCCGAGCUGCUCAUGACCGUGAGCAUUACUAGUAUACCAGUUUUACACUCUGCAGAGGUUGCGCAUCUUUACCCACAAGUCAUGUUACCCAUCUGCCAAGAGACGGCCAAUCUCAUACACCUCUAUCGAGGAGGCGAGGUAAGGUAACACUACGAGGCCUUUACAAAGUUCCACUAGCUUCAGAAAACCCACUACAGUUUAUAGGAAGCUCCAAUGCAGGAAUCCCUCGCCUGACCGCCAUCGCAGCAAAACCAACCUGAGGACCUCCCUACACUGACCACUCCCCUACUGCCCUUGCCCCUUUCGGGUAAGGUAGUCCUCCACUAGCUUUCCUAGUUAGUUAGCCAAGGGUGUCCCAUUCCACCCUUGUGGUAGCACUGUUUUCCCGGGUGGUUCUCCAUGUUUCAAUUAACAUAAUGAUCUUAACAUGAACAGUAAAUAACAACUGAUAAUAAAAGUAUAAUCAUGAAUAAAUGUGUAUCUCUAUACCCAAAACCACAUAAAGCAAUAGCAGGUACUACCCAAAAAUUCAGUGGUAAACAAGGUAUAAAGAUAGUCAAACUAGGGUAACCUAUUGGGUCCCAUCAAAAUUAACCUAUGUACAGAACAUGACUGGGUAAAAAGAAGUGAUCAAGGGCACAACUUGCCUGGAACUUGAGAUUCCAGGUACCAACUUGCUCUUCAGGUGACUCGUGACCUCACGCUAGUCGUAGCAAUACAAACAAAUAGUGUAUAGGCAAAAUUAACAUCACACCAAACAUAAGAACAAAAUACACAUUAAUAAUCUACAUAUUAAAAUAAGAUCUUAGGAAUAGGAAUCAUUAAUUUUGGAGUUAUGGAUUUUAAGUUAUGAAUUUCCAAAUGUUUUAUGUAUUUGAUACAAGAUUAACUAAGAAAUAAAAUUUAUUACUGUUUUCAUAUCAAAAUAGAGACACCAGGUGAUAAACAAUAAUAUUAUAAAAUUAUGAAAUUGGAAUGGAUUAAUUUGGAAUUAAAAUAAAUUAAACAUGAAUUUUCCAAGUUUCUAGAAUUAUUUUUGUAUUAAAAACUAAUUUCUAUAAUUAUUUCUCUAUUUUUAUUCCUCUCUGGACUGGGCGCCAGAUUCUAGAAAUGCCAGGGGCUUUCAGGCAAAAACCCCACAGACUCAGUUCUAACGCGCUUGUGGACUACGGGUUCUAUUUUCUAAUAACAUAAGGUCUCUUUUGAAUAAAUACCGACGCGAAGGGGUACGAGCCAUUCUGGACCGUACGAUCAUAAAUCGAUGGUCCCGAUUAAAUCACACCGAAGCGGUAUACUUUAUCCUAAUCGGAGCCACUCGAUCAAACAUGAACGACUCAGAUUUUUUUUAAAGUGCGAUUUGUCCUACACCACCAGAUCCGGUUACAACGGUUCGGAUCAUCCCAAUCGAAGGGGGUAUCAUGACUUAAUCCCUAUCGUCUGCUACUCGAUCAACGGCCAGAUCUGACGUUACCGAACCCAUCUGCACGAUCAAAUCUGAACCGUUUGGUAUGAUCCAACGAUCAAAACUCUAUCUUCCCCAACUCACCAGAAUCACGGCGGCCACCCCCGCCCGCGCGCUGAGCUCACGGCGGUGCAUGCCGGAGCUCCCGCAUAGGUGCUCUAUCCCUCAAUCCAAAAUGUUCUACACCAUUCUCAGACCAUAGCGAUUCACAGGGAAGAGGUCUCACCAGCGUUUUCGUUGUGCAGAUUCCCGCCCACGGUGAGACACGCACCCACGAUGGUCAUCAAUUCCGACGAGAAAUUGAGUCUGGCUCGGGAGAGGAUCCUUCACUGGGUGGCCACGGUAACCAUUCCCGAGCAAUGGCGAAGAACUCCCUCCGGCAAUCCAGUGGACCCGGCUGUUGGCAUCGGCGACGACGUCAGGCCUCUCCCCCUGACCCGCACCUAUAGGAAUCCUGAUGUUUAGGCGGCUAGCGAUUGUUUGAUGACCGCGACAACUUGCUUAUAUAUACACAAGCAGAGCAGCCCAAUCCCAACAACCAGCCCACAUCGCACGAAAUUUGUGUUGCAGCCAUUUGGAUUAUCGGGGUUUGCUACAAUCUGAUGGAGUUCGUUCGUUAGGGAGGAAACAGCUGUCAAGUGGGUCCCACAGAGCCAGAGACUCAGGGAGAGGACCCAAGUGUGGAGC
Molecule: long non-coding RNA, 2732 nt
Filed under: Zea mays
Lineage: Eukaryota; Viridiplantae; Streptophyta; Magnoliopsida; Poales; Poaceae
Description: long non-coding RNA (ZMAY_LNC002153)
Source: RNAcentral